ACAAUGCCUUGUCUUCUCUUCAAGCCCAAUUCAUGAUGUCUUGCAUCUUGAAUUGUAUUUUCAAUCCAUAUUUUCUCAAUUAAUCCAUUUAAAGUAGCUUGCAUAUUUUUGGCUCUUGCUCUUGUUAUUGGGCCUCCAUGAAUGUGCAAAGGAUCACUUGAAGUUUUAAUGGUAUUCCCUUGAUGGUUCUCAUCAUUCCCCCUCUCCUCAAAAGGAUUCGUCCUAGAAUCUUCACCUACAUCAAAAGGAGAAAGAUCAGAAACAUUAAAAGUAGCACUCACAUUAUACCCACUAGGAAGAUCCAAUUUGUAGGCAUUGUCAUUGAUCCGUGCAACCACUUGAAAUGGACCAUCUCCCCUUGGAAGCAACUUGGAACGCCU
Molecule: long non-coding RNA, 380 nt
Filed under: Citrus sinensis (sweet orange)
Lineage: Eukaryota; Viridiplantae; Streptophyta; Magnoliopsida; Sapindales; Rutaceae
Description: long non-coding RNA (CSIN_LNC005163)
Source: RNAcentral